UACGUAGGUGGCAAGCGCUGUCCGGAUUUAUUGGGUUUAAAGGGUGCGUAGGCGGCCUGCUAAGUCAGUGGUGAAAGCUCCCGGCUCAACCGGGAAACUGCCAUUGAAACUGUCAGGCUUGAGUAUAAUUGAAGUGGGUGGAAUACAUCAUGUAGCGGUGAAAUGCUUAGAUAUGACGUAGAACUCCAAUUGCGAAGGCAGCUCACUAAAUUGUCACUGACGCUGAGGCACGAAAGCGUGGGGAGCAAACAGG
This 253-nucleotide ribosomal RNA is filed under the name uncultured bacterium. RNAcentral describes it as "partial 16S ribosomal RNA". It matches the Rfam family "Bacterial small subunit ribosomal RNA", at positions 524 to 776 of the family's 1533-position model. The record is from RNAcentral.